Homo sapiens (human) is the source of this 1461-nucleotide long non-coding RNA. Ensembl annotates it as long intergenic non-protein coding RNA 923. Lineage: Eukaryota; Metazoa; Chordata; Mammalia; Primates; Hominidae. The record is from Ensembl.
UAUUUUAUUUAAAAAAAAAUAGAGACAGGAUCUUGCUGUAUUGCCCAGGCUGGUCUUGAACUCCUGGACUCAAGAAAUCCUCCUCGGCCUCUCAAAGUCCGGGGAUUACAGGCAUAAGCCACCGCACCCCGCCAAGAAGAAUUCUUUGGGAACCACUAGCACUCUGGAAUGCUUUACUGUAGAUAUGAAUAAGUGAUUUUUUUUAAAUACAAAAGUCAUAUUAGUAUUAAUUAGUUUUGGUGCAUUUUAGAAAAUACACGUUUUAGAAAGCUUACCCUAAUAACGGUUGGAAGACAUGCUGGAAGAGGUAGCAUGAUAGCAAGUGCUGCAGAGGGAGAGGCGUAACUGGGUUCAAAUUUGCCGCUUGCUGCCUGUGAGUCAAGCCUCACAGGUUUGCAUGGUUUGAUUAAAAUAUGGCUUUAAAGAUCUUAGCACAAAGCCUAGCACAUGGUAAGCACUCACUGUGUGGAAGCUAUUAUAUUAUUUUCAUUUUAUUAUGAUAAAUUGGGGCCGACUAGGUCAAGUCAUCAAAGUUUGGCCCACCCAUGGGAUUUGUAGACUUUUGCAGGGCUGUGCCUCCUUUCCUCCCCAGACAAAAUCCAUCACGUCAGCAGUCACAGGGCACCCUGGUUCCCUCUCUGAAUGAACUGUUAAAUGACUAAGCUGGCUCCCAACAGAGGCAGAGCCCAGCAAUAUGCGGCCUGUAAUCUGUCAGAUGAUACAGCAACAGGCCCAGUGAGGGGCCCGACACACCCCCCAGGAGAGUGGAGUCUCUCACUGCAUGUGACGUGGAAGACGCCGAAGAGGUGAGGGAGGCACCAUAUGCUGCGGGCCUGCCAAGGGAGAAUAAACAGCACCGGCAGCCUGGCACAGAGCUCUGGCGGGAACGUCCACCAAGAUCGGUCAGGCACUCUCAUGGCGUCCUCCUGGAUACAGGCUUUUGCUUUUGUUUUUAAUUUUGGAGCAGUGAAGCCGAAAGUGAGGAGUGAGGACAAGGAGAAGACCCAUUUGCUCCUGUUCAUUCAAACAGCAUCUCUUCAUUUUGAAAUUGGCAAGAGGCAGUUCGGGGCUGUGGCAGGUCCUGUACACCACCUGUUGCCUCCCAAGUCACUGUGCCUUUCUGGCUUUCUUUACCUAUGUCCUGUAAAACGCCAGCCAGAAGCAAAUGAAUAUAUUAUCUGUCCGAAGCAAGACAUGGGGCAAAUGGAUCUAUGAGUCGUGGGUGAUUGGGACUCCUCGCUCGCGUGGGGGUGUGACUGUACUUCAGAACUCAUUUUCACCGAUGCUGACAUACAAGACAGUCCUCGGAGACCUGUCUAUCAAACUGCAACAUGCUCUGCAGAAAAAUUAGAUUACUCAUGCUCAGACAGAGGGGGCGAUGGCAAUUUAGAGUGGCCCCUUAAAUGCCAAUUACACUUGUAUUUACAAAACAAAUUAAACCCACGUAUAGGACAUUGUUCA